This 327-nucleotide long non-coding RNA is filed under the name Ictidomys tridecemlineatus (thirteen-lined ground squirrel). Its description in RNAcentral is "lncRNA (ENSSTOG00000031470.1)". Lineage: Eukaryota; Metazoa; Chordata; Mammalia; Rodentia; Sciuridae. The record is from RNAcentral.
UAAAGAUUUUUUUUUUUGUUGUUGUUGUUUUUGAAUUACAGACACUGAAGACUGUUGCCUUGCUGAAAACCUCUGACUGAUGCUGUAGAACAGGACGCUUAAGAUUGUGUCUGCUGUGGGAUGCUAUUUCUCUGGUACUUAUCAAUUUGGGCUUCUUCCAGGAGCUGAAAACCGAUUACAAAUAUGAAACAGAUUUCACUAUCUGGAUUUGAACUUACAUUAAAAAAAAUAACAAGCUCCACAAAAUAAUUGAAAAAGACCCUCUCCAAAGAGUAGCUGCAAUGUGAAUGGGAGGAGAUCAAGGAAGUAAGAGGUAAAUUUUGAAUG